CCUACGGGAGGCAGCAGUGAGGAAUAUUGGUCAAUGGGCGGAAGCCUGAACCAGCCAAGUAGCGUGCAGGAUGACGGCCCUACGGGUUGUAAACUGCUUUUAUACGGGAAUAACGCGCCUUACGUGUAGGGCUUUGCAUGUACCGUAUGAAUAAGGACCGGAUAAUUCCGGGCCAGCAGCCGCGGUAAUACGGAAGGUCCGGGCGUUAUCCGGAUUUAUUGGGUUUAAAGGGAGCGUAGGCCGCAUGUCAAGCGUGCUGUGAAAUGUCCGGGCUCAACCCGGGCCUUGCAGCGCGAACUGGGGUGCUUGAGUCCGCGGAAGGCAGGCGGAAUUCGUCGUGUAGCGGUGAAAUGCUUAGAUAUGACGAAGAACCCCGAUGGCGAAGGCAGCUUGCUGCAGCGGAACUGACGCUGAUGCUCGAAAGCGCGGGUAUCGAACAGGAUUAGAUACCCGGGUAGUC
Molecule: ribosomal RNA, 460 nt
Filed under: uncultured bacterium
Lineage: Bacteria
Description: partial 16S ribosomal RNA
Rfam family: Bacterial small subunit ribosomal RNA
Source: RNAcentral